GUAUAUUAUCCUUUCAGCUUCAAUAUCUUUAACUGCACAUGAGAGAAUCGAGUUGCCAUCACAGCAGGAUUACUGAUUGGACAGAAAGAAGCACUUCCUGUGGUGAUGUCGGGACCACACGGCACCUUCUAACACUCCCAAAGAGAGAGAGAGAGAGAGAGAGAAUGGAUGAGACAGUAUGUGCAAUCUCAUGUCUUAAUUCACCAUACAUGUAAACAUUUCUAGAGCAAAACUAAUGUCAAGGCUGGUAUUUUUUUGUGUGUGACCUGAGUCAGUAAAUAUAAUCCAAGCCAAAACAAAAGAGGAAACCAUGCCCCACAAUGGGUGGUUGGAGAGAAGGGGAUAUUGGUAAACCAGCCUCUGAAUCAUCAUCCACUAAGUCUGAGUCCUUCUACUAUUUAGAAGUCAUUGUCACUUCGUAUUGGUUCUCAUUCAAAAUCAAAUCCCCUGCUGGCAUCCAUUGAGUAUGUUGAGGUGGAGGAUGUGGAAGUGGAAAAUAUGCAACAAAAGCAGCCUAAGCCACCAAGGAAUGGGGACAAGGAGUAGGAGGCUAGGAAGCUAAAAGCUUUGUAACCCAAAGUAACAGCUGUAAUCAACAGCAGGUAGAGUGGUAGGCCUCUUUCUAAACACAUGCUGCUGAAACCUUCCAUAGACCUUUCUGUUCUUCUGCUAUUGGAAAUAAGCCCCUCCCCUCAACAAACGGACAGUGAUAUGGAUGGAGACUGUCAUGAAGAGGAGGUGGUAUCUGAAGAUAGUAUAAAAACCUCCGGUUCCUGAGGGGACACAGAACAGCAAUGAAAGUGAAGAAUACUACUCUGAUGACAGUGUGUUACCCUUUCUCAAGCCAGCAAAGAAACACAAAAUAAUCAUAUUGUAUAAGAAAAGGCCACAGAAACAAAUCCAAGCUUUGAUUUCCAGUCAAAGUGGAAAACUCCUUUGUUUUGCACUGUUUCUGCCACUAUUCUCUUCACAUGAACAGGAACUUUAUUGUCUUCAAAGUAUCUUUGAGAACUAGUGAAACUCUUUCUGAAGAAGGAACUCAUCAUCA
RNAcentral lists this long non-coding RNA (1048 nucleotides) under Chrysemys picta bellii (western painted turtle). RNAcentral describes it as "lncRNA (ENSCPBG00000017043.1)". The record is from RNAcentral. Lineage: Eukaryota; Metazoa; Chordata; Testudines; Emydidae.